This 9266-nucleotide long non-coding RNA is filed under the name Malus domestica (apple). RNAcentral describes it as "long non-coding RNA (MDOM_LNC017817)". The record is from RNAcentral. Lineage: Eukaryota; Viridiplantae; Streptophyta; Magnoliopsida; Rosales; Rosaceae.
UGGGAUACAGAGAAACCAUCCCUUUUUCUUCUUCUUUCCCGUGAUUCCCUCAAACACUCACUCUCACUCUCUCUCUCUCCCUUCGAACACUCUCUCUCUCUCUCUUCAUACGGACCAUCAUCAAAGUUCAUCAAAACUUCACAGAUCGAAGAAACAAAGAUCACCAUCGUCUUCGUCUCGUCGAUACGAGUUCAUCCAUACCUAUUUCAGGUAAGAACUUCAACGUUUUCACGUCCAACCACUCACCUCCGAGUUUGACACUAUUCAUCAACUUUGUAUUGGUUGAUUUUUAGGAGUUUUCAAGCUUGUAGGAAGCUUCUUGAGGUCCUUAGGAGGCUCGGCGUAGUUCGUUGGAGGUUUUUGGACGUAAGAAUAUCGAGAUCGAAAAGUUCAAGUUUGACCCGUGCCUUUCGAGUCGUUUUCCGGCCAAACCACGGAGAGUUAGACGUCGUGCGAGGUACCAUUCUCUUCGUCUCUUCGAGAAAUACAACUUUCGUUUUUGUUUCACCCAAUUUCGUUGAGUAUUAAAGAAGUUAUACUCAUUUGAAUCUUACCCAGUUUCCGGCGAGUCCGACGGCUUUCGAGGCUUUUUACGGUGAAUUAUCGGCGAUUUAAGGGUCGAGAAGGGUAUAGAUAUGUUUGUCUCGUCAAUAUCUUCAGUUUGAUAUAAAGUACGUUGAAAAUGGUGAAGAAAUGACAAAGUUAUGGCAAUUUGAAAAACUGCCCAGAAACCGGCGAAACCAGUCCGGCGAGCCGAGGAAGAAGACGCGCGUGGGCGCGCGUGGACCGCCACUUUGGGCGGCGCGUGGGGGCGCGUCCGGCAUCCGACCGGCGCGUGGUUUGUACGUACGCGUUAGUGUCGUCGAGUAGAUCGAUUUCAUAUAUUUAUACCCUAGGUUUGAGCAAAUUAUGAGCGUUUUAUUUAGGUUUCCGUUAUGUGCUUUAAUUAAUGUUAUUUAGUUAUUUCAUAUAUAGGGGAAACUUAUUCCGAGGAUUUUCGAGGCCAAGCUAGGCUCGGGGGCUACGAUUUAACGACGUACUUGUGAGUGGGUAGUUGUUUAUACCUAUAUAUAUUUAUAGUUUCCAUAAAUGCGUAUUUACUUCAUUUUUACGCCUAUAUUGCCUAGUAUCAUUAUUAUGAUAUAAAUUGUGAUAAAUGCUGCUAUAUGGUUGUGAUAUUACUGUCAUGGCAUCAUACAUACUUGUGUACAUGCUCAUCUUGCUGCACCUGGUGUUAGUACUCGCCCCAGGGCCAGGGCCAGUCCUUCACGUGUAUGUUCACAUCCGCACCGUUCGCUCACCUUGGAUCCAAGUUUAGGUGCCAGUCUUGUCGGGUAGAUUGCAUUAGGCGAUCUGACUUGUAUGUGAUGUGCUUUUGCACCAGUUUUCACGUGAUCGUAGUACUAGAGCAUAUUGAUUACACCCAGUCCUGUUCGUGUCAGAAACCAUCUGUCCAAACUUGUGUGUCAGCUUAGAUGGAUGAGCACUUAGUUGUAUUGAUUAUCACUUGAUUAUUAUUGUGGCAUAUGAUACAUCAUUGACUUGGCAUAAUUCUGGUUAUAUGGUUUAUAUAUAUUGGAUUUCAUACUUACGUAGUAUGUUUUGAGGAAAUUAUACUUGUUUUACGGCGAGGGGUUAGUAUAUUCAAAGAUAAAGGUUUUCUUAUAAGCAUUGUUUUACUGACCCACUCAAUUUUGUUUUGCGCCCCUCCAUGUAUAAGAUAACAGAGCUUUGGUGGCCACGAGGAAUCCAACGAUGUUCUGAUAGAAUUCAUAAAAGUAGGACUCACCCUCGGGUGUUUCAUCUUAGUAAUUGUAUUCUUUAAAGCUUUCGAAAUGUGUAAAUGGUUACGUCACUCUCACGUGACGGCCAACAUGCCCUCCUUCGGGAUGGGGUGUGCCACCAUGCCUCACGAUUUUAAGUCUUCAACAGCGCUAAUGAACAGGAUUAUUUCUUCGAAUUUCUAAAUGCACACUGACACACCCCGAUCCUAAAAUCAAGGCGUGAUGGCCAUCAAGUGAGCGUGACGUAGCCAAAAGUGCGACACGGAAGCAAGAGAUAAUAGAAAUAUGAAGGAAUUUAAACCAACCACUAGCAGUAAUAACCUACUAGCAUAAAAGAGUGAGUUCUAAAGUAAAACACACGAAUUCAGGGCGUAGGUAUCAAGUGCAGUCUAGUAGGACUAUAAUUAAAAGUACAACACCUGCAGGUGAGUCCUACAUGCAGAACGUCUAUCAGAACGCCGAAAAGACCUCGUGAGCAACCAACUGCUAACUAGAACCUGGAGGGGCCCAAAACAAAGAUGAGUGGGUCAGUAAAAUCAAAGAUUUUCCAAAACAUUUCCUUUAAAACAUUUCUAACCCCUCACCGUAAAACCUAUAUACUUUUCCAGAAAUUUAUUAUAAAACAUAUAUACAUAUAUCAUCAAACUCAGCUCACAAUCUUUCAAAGCUUUUCAGAAAGAAUAUGCCAUGCCAUGCCAUGCCAAAAUAUAAUAUGAAUGCAUUGAUAUAAAUCAGGUGAAAUAAUAAAUCAACCGGAGACUCUACAAUGGUCCUUUUAAUUAUAGUCCUACUAGACUGCACUUGAUACCUACGCUUUGAAUUCGUGUGUUUUACUUUAGAACUCACUCUUUUAUGCUAGUAGGUUAUUACUGCUAGUGGUUGGUUUAAAUUCCUUCAUAUUUCUAUCAUCUCUUGCUUCCGUGUCGCACUUUUGGCUACGUCACGCUCACGUGACGGCCAACACGCCUUGAUUCUAGGAUCGGGGUGUGUCAGUUUGGUAUCAGAGCCUAGGUUGCAGUCCUGUAUAAUUGUUAAUGCUCUAAUGAUCUUUUGAUGUUUUCUGUCAGAAUUAUGCCGCCUCGUAGGGAACGUAUGGAAUCCCGCCGUAGUUCUGAACCUAAUUUCCCUGAUAUCACUCAGUUAGGGGAAGCAAUGGCCUAGGCUUUUCAGAAUGCAAUUUGUCCUCCUCCCCCUCCUCAGAGGACACCUCUGGAGACUAUGUACAAUUUGAAAUUGGAUCGUUUUAUGGGUAAUGAGGGUCACGAAGGGGCAGAGAAAUGGCUAGACCAUAUUGAGAAGACGUUUCAGGUGAUGCAAAGUCAGGGGAACUUUCCUGCUGAUAGGUGGGUUGAGACCACUACCUGGUUUUUGGGUCGAGAGCCGGCAGGUUGGUGGAGGAAUCAAACUCAGUUUAUGUCCCCAGAAAUGGCAGCUGAUUGGGAAGUAUUUAAAGAGAAUUUCAAGAAAAGAUUUGUCCCUCCAAAGUACAUCGAUCGCAAGAAACAGGAGUUUACUCGUUUGAAGCAAAGGAAUAUGUCAGUGCACGAGUACUACAGAAAGUUUACUGAUUUGUCUCGUUAUGACCCUGAUACAGCUGGUAAUCAGGUAGAGAUGCUUCGACGUUUCAAGUUGGGAACUAAGAGAAAAUGGCGGACUUUUGCCAGUGCACUUCCCUGCGCUGAUUAUCAUGAGUUUUUCGAAAUUUUGGUUCGGAUGGAGGACUCCGACAAUCUUCCUAGUGACAGUGAGGAUGACGAGGACGAGAAUGAUGGUCAGAAGAAGGAUGAUAAAGGUAAGGGUAUCUCCAUUCCGGGACCUCGUAAGACGCAGAAUUUUAAGAAGAGUGAAGCGAGUUCGAGUUCUUCUAGUGGAGGAUAUAGUAUUACUGGCCCGAGGAGAGGUGGUGGAAGAUUUUCUGGUGGACCCAGAUUUCAGAAGCAGAGGGAUUCCGGUGGUGCUAGUGGUUCUGGUGCUCCGUGGUGCCGCCGUUGUAAUUUUCGUCAUCAUGGUGAGUGCAUGAAUGGUGGUGGUGCUUGUUAUAAUUGUGGACAAAUGGGACAUCGGGCUUCUCAGUGUCCCUAGGUCAACAGAGACCUCAGCAGACCACUAUGCCACCUCCAGCGCCGAUUCAGCAGAGCUUUGGACCAGGCAGUUAUGGCCAGUCGAGUCGUGGUGGUGCUUACCACUACCAGGGUGAUGCUGCUCCUUAUGCUUCCGGAUCGUAUCAGUAUCCCCAGGAUCCUUAUUCUCAGACUUGGUAUUCCCAAGACCUUGGGGGUUAUUCUUCUUAUUCUUCCAUGCCAGCUGGUGGAUCUCAGUGGCAUCAGGGAGGUCAACCCCGUUAGGGGGAAGUUGCUGCUAGUGGUGUAGGAUCAUCUAGGUAGUCUAGUCAGUCAGGCCAGGGACGUACUUCUCAGGGGCGAGGUAAUCAAGGCAACAGAGGUCGUGGUGGACGACAGCAAGCUCAGGGACGUGUUAAUCACAUCUCACUGCAAGAUGCUCAGAACCAUCCAGAUUUGAUCAUGGGUACGUUAAAUGUUCUUGGUCAUUUUGCUAGAGUUUUGAUUGAUUGUGGUGCUACGCAUUCUGUGAUUUCUCAUACGUUUGCUCAAAUGACUCAACCUCACCCUUCACCUCUAGGAUUUGAUUUAGAGUUUGCCAUGCCUAAAGGAGAUAAAUGUUAUGUUGAUAGUGUGUAUCUUGGGAGUCCAGUGAUGGUAGAGGGCAUAGUGGUCUGCUAAGGUCUCUGCUGACCCUGGGGACACUGAGAAGCCCGAUGUCCCAUUUGUCCACAAGUAUAACAAGCACUACCACCUCUCCUGCACUCACCAUGAUGACGAAAAUUACAACGGCGGCACCACGGAGCACCAAAACCACCAGCACCACCGGAAUCCCUCUGCCUCUGAAAUCUGGGUCCAUCAGAAAAUCCUCCACCACCUCUCCUCGAGCCAGUAAUACUAUAUCAUCCACUAGAAGAACUCGAACUCGCUCCAUUCUUCUUAAAAUUCUGCGUCUUACGAGGUCCCGGAAUGGAGAUACCCUUACCUUUAUCAUCCUUCUUCUGACCAUCAUUCUUGUCCUCGUCAUCCUCACUGUCACUAGGAAGAUUGUCGGAGUCCUCCAUCCGAACCAAAAUUUCGAAAAACUCAUGAUAAUCGGCGCAGGGAAGUGCACUGGCAAAAGUCCACCAUUUUCUCUUAGUUCCCAACUUGAAACGUCGAAGCAUCUCUACCUGAUUACCAGCUGUAUCAGGGUCAUAACGAGACAAAUCAGUAAACUUUCUGUAGUACUCGUGCGCUGACAUAUUCCUUUGCUUCAAACGAGUAAACUCCUGUUUCUUGCGAUCGAUGUACUCUGGAGGGACAAAUCUUUUCUUGACUCUUUAAAUACUUCCCAAUCAGCUACCAUUUCUGGGGACAUAAACUGAGUUUGAUUCCUCCACCAACCUGCCGGCUCUCGACCCAAAAACCAGGUAGUGGUCUCAACCCACCUAUCAGCAGGAAAGUUCCCCUGACUUUGCAUCACCUGAAACGUCUUCUCAAUAUGGUCUAGCCAUUUCUCUGCCCCUUUGUGACCCUCAUUACCCAUAAAACGAUCCAAUUUCAAAUUGUACAUAGUCUCCAGGGGUGUCAUCUGAGGAGGGGGAGGAGGACGAAUUGCAUUCUGAAAAGCCUGGGCCAUUGCUUCCCCUAACUGAGUGAUAUCAGGGAAAUUAGGUUCAGAAGUACGGCGGGAUUCCCUACGUUCCCUACAAGGCGACAUAAUUCUGACAGAAAACAUCAAAAGAUCAUUAGAGCAUUAACAAUUAUACAGGACUGCAACCUAGGCUCUGAUACCAAACUGACACACCCCGAUCCUAGAAUCAAAGCGUGUUGGCCGUCACGUGAGCGUGACGUAGCCAAAAGUGCGACACGGAAGCAAGAGAUAAUAGAAAUAUGAAGGAAUUUAAACCAACCACUAGCAGUAAUAACCUACUAGCAUAAAAGAGUGAGUUCUAAAGUAAAACACACGAAUUCAAAGCGUAGGUAUCAAGUGCAGUCUAGUAGGACUAUAAUUAAAAGUACAACACCCGCAGGUGAGUCCUACAUGCAGAACGCCGAAAAAGACCUUGUGAGCCACCAACUACUAACUAGAACCUGGAGGGGCGCAAAACAAAGAUGAGUGGGUCAGUAAAAUCAAAGAUUUUCCAAAACAUUUCCUUUAAAACAUUUCUAACCCCUCACCGUAAAACCUGUAUACUUUCCCAGAAAUUUAUUAUAAAACAUAUAUACAUAUAUCAUCAAACUCAGCUCACAAUCUUUCAACGCUUUUCAGAAAGAAUAUGCCAUGCCAUGCCAUGCCAAAAUAUAAUAUGAAUGCAUCGAUAUAAAUCAGGUGAAAUAAUAAAUCAACCGGAGACCCUACAAUGGUCAUGACGGCUGAUUUUAUAGCUCAAUAUCCCACUCAGCCGGAGUCACCACAGUGACCUAUACGGCCAUACUCUGCACGUCACUCGGAACUACGUAAGGUAGUCUGUACGAUGAAAGGUGUAAGAAUACGCUCUAGUGCUUCUCUCAUCAAUCAUGGCGCGCAUAACUAAGGUCACCCACUAGUCGGAAUCACAUCUAGUGAUCUAUACGACUAGCAUGUCGAAACCCUCACAUGGUCUGUACGACAGUCACCUACUUGGAUCCAAGGCGAGCCUGCGGUGUGGUGAAUAAUAUAAGCACUAACACCUAGGGUGCAGGUUAUGAGCUUUCAAUGCAAUUCACAUAAAUAAAUCGUAUGAAUAAUGUAAAAACUCACUUGUGCGUCCACAACGUCAAUUCAUAUAUAUAUGCAUCAAUUAUCAAUUCAAAUAUCUCAUCAAUUGCAUGCAUGGCAUUUUAAAACAUAUUUUCAUAUAAAUGCAUUUUCUGGGAAAAACAGUAGUAUAUAGGUAAUACGAAAACAAAGCUGCCCACUCACUGGUAAGUCGAUGGGUCGUAACCCCCGUGACGUCCCUGGAUGCGCUCGUCCUCGGGAUAGGUGUCACCUAUAUGCGAAACAAUUAUAAAAACGUUAAUUAAAACACAUAACCAAUAAUUCGAAAUAACUUUUCAUACGGUGCUCAAUUUGGGUAUGUGAAUAUACCACAACGACCUACUCGACGUCACGAACGACGAGGAAUUUUUAGAAAAUUUUUUGGAAGCCCCACGCGCCGUCAUGCGCCGGCCAAGGCACGGCCAGACGCGCGGUUACGCGCAGGCCACGUGUCGCGCGUGUUGUCUCCUACCCUGGGCUCGUCGGACUGGUUUUUCCGGUGGCCAGAUUCCGACGAAUUUUGUAAUUGCUUGUUCUCCUUCGUUUCUCAACCGUUUUCUUCGAAUUUUAUAUCAAUUUGAAGCCCUCAACAUGUAGAAUCACGAUAGACUAGUUUCAAGGUCUAAAAUUCACUAGAUUUUACCUGGGGAAGCACGAUAAUUCGAAAAUUUUGAGAAACUCCGUUCUCGGUCCUCCGACGUCCAAAUGUUACCAACGAAGUACCCCGAAGCUCGUGAGGAUGUCCUUAAGCUCACUGUGAGCUUGAAAUUCCCUGAAAUGUAAGAUUUCACGUGUGCAUGAACAGUGCACAUUUUCGGGGUUAGGGUUCCACGACGAUUCCGAGGGUUUCACUUCCUAAAACUAGUACCAUUCAACUCAGAAUAUCAAAAGGAUGAAGAAUCAUACCUUAUUUGCUUCGAUCCGCAAAGUUUUGAAGGGUUUUGGUCUUGUCCGUACUAUUUCGAGAGGGAGAGAGUGAGAGAGAGUCGUGAGGGAAGAGAGAGAGAAAGCACGGGGGAAGGGAGAGAGAGCAGGGAGUGCGUGUGUGUGUUUGUGUGGUCCAACGCAAAUCCACAUCAUCAAUUUCUCAUCCUAGCUCCCUAACCACACACAAAAAAUAUCCCACAUAAGCAAAGUCCAAGGUUAAGAAUUUAAGUCUAAAUAAUGCCACACACACAUACCUUAAUACCCGUCAAGGGUAAUUCCGUCAUUUCACGUCCCCGAUAUAAAAAUCCCGGGACAGGCUGUGACACACACGCUCUGACCUGUCAAUAAACAGCACAUCAUAACAAUUUGUUGCAGUAAAUGAAACCCAAAUAUACAAUUGCAAUUCCAGUUCAUUCAAGUCGAUCCUAUUCUAGUUUAAUGGUAAGUCAGUACGGAACCGAGAUUUAGAUUACAACCUCACCAAAAUACAAACCUACACUUAAGCAGAAUAAAAUACAAGAAAUAAAGACACCGAGAAAUUUACGAGAUUCGACAAAAUUAUGCUUACGACCUUAGAGAGAUACUGCUCUUCACUAUUAGGAUAACGAGUACAAGAUACACUUGAGUUAAAUCGACUUAACCCAUUAGGUUCACAAAUGAUUAGUUAUGUAAAAUCGCCUUGGUUAAGAAAAAGAAUAAUGCUUAGACCAACUUUUAAGAUUAAAUUUACAAAUCAUGUGACAUGUCACCAAAUUCCCAUUUAUUCUUUCACGACCGCUUAGGGUUAUAGAGUUUGGCACCAAUUUUGCUUGGAUCAAAUUGUAUACGAGCCUACUGAUGGAUCCACAUAGGAGCCAAUAUAUGCAAUUGCCCCCCUCACCACUUUUCCUACACAUGAAAUUGACAAAAAUUCAUUUGUUAUUCUUCUUGAACCCAAAUACCAUUCAAGCAUGAUGCCUGACAAAAUAUCUCAAAUGACUCAAAGAGGCUGAAGCAUGGUUGGUAGCAAGGGGCAACUUGCCAAAGUGGUGUGCGGGUUUCAUCUCGGCCUCGGAAGAAAGAGAAUCUUCCAUUCCCCACUAAUUUGUAAUUAUUGUGUUCCUUUAACUUCUACCAAAUUCUUUCUAUGCUCGUCUCUUUUAAUUCUUGUUUCUGGUUCUGGCCUGCUGGCCAUUGCCUUGCUUUGGUCUUGUAUGUUAAUGUUUGUCUCUCUUAACAAAUUUGGUCUUUCAUAAAGAUACCAGAAAGAAACCAAUUGGACUUGAUGGUCGUGAAUUUUUGGAUUGGCCAUGUUACAAACUAUUGACAAUAUCAUGUUAUAAACUAUUCUUGCUUAUUAGAGAGGCCGACUCGAACUCAACUGCAAACAGUAAACAAUGAAUAUAUUCUUCUGACUAAGCGCUCGUUUGAAAGUGUUUUUAAAAUAACUUGAAACACUCUUGGUGAAAUUGUUUUUGGCCUCCAAAAGCAUUAUGUAGGAAGCACAUGUGUUUUUCUAAGAUUCACUUGCAUUUUUAGUAAGGAUUAGUUCCAUAAAAAAACUUUCAUCAAAAUGAUUUCGGUUAUUUUAAAAGUACACUUUCCAAACGAGUCCUAACUGGCAUAAAAUUAACCUGAUGUUUAACCAUAUGAAAAUCAUGUAUCUUAAACAAUUAUAUGCAUAAAACAUCAAAAGUAGGCCUACAAAGCGCAACAGACACACUCCGUCCUUCCUAUAUCUUGCACUUUCUUUCUUAUUCAAAGCCAACACUACAAACAAAAGGAAAACUGCAG